This 415-nucleotide long non-coding RNA is filed under the name Vulpes vulpes (red fox). Its description in RNAcentral is "lncRNA (ENSVVUG00000017194.1)". The record is from RNAcentral. Lineage: Eukaryota; Metazoa; Chordata; Mammalia; Carnivora; Canidae.
CCUGGUGGACCAGUUCUUGGACUCCUACUACAAGAGGCAGUGCUACACGCAAGGGGAACACUUAAUGUUUGUUGCUACAUGAUUCUAUUACUAAGAUGUGCAGUAAGAAGUGAAAGUGAAGCCUAGUUCCCUUGGCUGACAACCCAGGGCACAACUCCUGCUUCCGUGAGUGCCUAAUACAAGAGUUGAAGCUCCCGGAGCCUUCUUUGAAAAAUGCCAUGCCUAAUGUUCUACUACAGAUGUUUGCCUUGAGUCAAAUAUGGAACUUAUGUAAAAUUAUACGUGGGUUGGUGGUGAGUAUUGCUUUUAUGAGAUAAGGAAUCAUUUCACAUUAUUCUCAUUUUACUUUAAUGCUUGGGGUCAUUUACACUGAGCAAUAGCACUUGACUCUGAAGAAACAGUGGUAGAAAUGCAA